RNAcentral lists this ribosomal RNA (486 nucleotides) under uncultured bacterium. Its description in RNAcentral is "partial 16S ribosomal RNA". It matches the Rfam family "Bacterial small subunit ribosomal RNA", at positions 30 to 507 of the family's 1533-position model. The record is from RNAcentral.
AUUGAACGCUGGCGGCAUGCCUUACACAUGCAAGUCGAACGGCAGCACGGGUGCUUGCACCUGGUGGCGAGUGGCGAACGGGUGAGUAAUACAUCGGAACAUGUCCUGUAGUGGGGGAUAGCCCGGCGAAAGCCGGAUUAAUACCGCAUACGAUCUACGGAUGAAAGCGGGGGACCUUCGGGCCUCGCGCUAUAGGGUUGGCCGAUGGCUGAUUAGCUAGUUGGUGGGGUAAAGGCCUACCAAGGCGACGAUCAGUAGCUGGUCUGAGAGGACGACCAGCCACACUGGGACUGAGACACGGCCCAGACUCCUACGGGAGGCAGCAGUGGGGAAUUUUGGACAAUGGGCGAAAGCCUGAUCCAGCAAUGCCGCGUGUGUGAAGAAGGCCUUCGGGUUGUAAAGCACUUUUGUUCGGAAAGAAAUCCUUGGCCCUAAUACGGUCGGGGGAUGACGGUACCGGAAGAAUAAGCACCGGCUAACUACGUG